GAGCUCGCAUUAGCUGGGUCAGCCCCGCGCUUGUGCGAGAGGUUUUUGCCCAAUCCACACCUCACGCGCCGCAUUGACCUGCUUGCCCAAUCCCCGCGGCGGUUGGCUGGUUGACUCAUCGCGCCAGCACGUCCUCGCCUCCUUAGUGCCAUGAGAGGCGCCGCCUCUGCCUCUGGAAGAAGCGGCAGGGAUUGGUGGAGCAUCGAAAGUGGCCGGGGUCAACGGUUGAGGGAGGAUCACCCACCAGAGCAGUAGGAGAAAGACCUUGAGUGAAGCUGCAUCAUCCAACAUAGCGAGAUGAAGUACUCAGAAAAAAUUGCAGCAAGUGCGAUUGAUACUCAGGGAAUUGAUCUGAUUCUGAAUCUUCCCUUCUUCCGAGUUGUCUGAAGUGGAAUGGAUUGUCGUCACCUUUGACUAAGCUGUCGAGCCCAAGAACUGUGGCAGACUGGUGGCCCAGCUGUUCAACUUCUCAACACCGUUUAAUUUUGUCUUUGGCUGUCCUUGCGUCCACUCAGCAGAGAAGUAUCUAUACUGAAUUUCUGCUCUAGAUAACUUAUACUCAUAUAAUUUAUCUCUAAUACCCAGUCCAAAACAUUAGUUUCAAAAUGUAACUCUUUGCGGCCCUAAUUCGACAGUACUUUGAGUGCUUCCUAUAGGAACAGGAGUGAGCAAAGACGAAGUCACCUGAGAUGGGAAAAACAGAAGUAUAUGUUAAUAACCAGAUUUUCAACUUUUGUUGACCUUUUAUUUUAAGUAUAUGUUAAUAACCAGAUUUUCAACUUUUGUUGACCUUUUAUUUUAACUGAAUGAUAUGUUCUAGCAUUUGAGCUACUAAUCAUAAAUAUUCAGUCAGCUAUCCGUAAGACGCCACAUGUUCUUAGCUGCUAUAUUUUAUACCUGAAAUUAUUUUCUAAGUCCACAUAACGAAGGCAAAAGUCAUGAAAAUUAUGAAAGCCUUUUUGAAAAAAUGAAAAUCACAGAAAGGAUCUUGGAAAAAAGAAUUACUUGUGAACAAUCAUUUUGACUGAUGAGUUGAUCUCUGCCUAAUGAAUCCACUGAGAUAUUGGAGAGCUUUUCUGCUUCAUGAGAAAGAGCCACAGAUGGCCGACUAAUACCCAUUAUAGCAGGAUUUUGCAUAUGAUGUGCAUACACAAGGUGCCGCUGGGUGAUACGGCAGUUCUCUGAACAUAGAAUACUAGAUUAAAGCACUCACAGUAUUUCUUCAGGCACUCAGAUCUCUUGCAGUGGCACCCCUUUGUAUGCUUACCCACAGGAGGGCCUUCUGCCAGUUUGCAUGAUAAAAAUAGAAGUGAUUGUUUGAAAAUAUACAUUGUGCUCUACCUCGCCGUUCUGGGCUGCAUGUGGAGGGAUAUUCCAAAUUUUGGGCAUAAAGGCCACAGGGUUUCUUUCAAGGCACUAGGCAAAUCACGAAUAGCUCGCCCCUUGUGCUAUAUUUAUAGCAGGUUGUACCCGGCAUAUAUUGUGAGAUUUGAUCUGGUAGAGACGAAGGACCGAGAUAGUCUGGUCUUACCUACAUAUAUGAGUCGUUAUUGAGGACUGAGCAUCGAGCGUGAUUCCGUUUCCAGUCCAUGUAGAUUAGGCAUUGGACGACUUAGCUAGAAACUUUAUAGGUUUUUAGUUUAUAUAUCAGUUAUGUUGUCAUGAUUUGCUUUUUAUGAACCUUGAUAAUACUAUCCUGGAUUUGUGACAACAGUCUACAGAUUUUUCCCUUUAUUUUUUAUCAUUGUGAAGAACAAAUCUACAAAAUUCAACCAGUUGUGAACUCAUCAAGUACGAGAUCUCUGUCUAAUAUCAUUUCUGUAGGUCGAACCUGAAAGGAUGCCAGCCGAUUGCUUUUCCAAAACUGAAGUUUCAUGUCUUGAAACUUUCCCCAUUUUUCUUUUCAGAGGACAAAGGACAUCCGGAUUAGUUAGCUUCUUUUUACAGUUCCUAUCCAUUGAACUAUAUGCAGUUUUCAGCUAGACCUCAUUUUAUAGUGCCUAUCCAUUGAACUAUAUGCAGUGUCAACAAACAUUGUGAGAUGCGAUGGCUGCAAUGGUGGGGCCAAACAAUCCUACGGCAGCAGUAGUCAUCCCAUGAUAAAUCUCUGUUAAGUGCUCCUUUCUCUUUACCUCUUUACUCCCGUGUAUCUGAUUUUGAUGUCAUAGUCUAUGUUUUUAGCUAGACACCGUGCUUGCAGAUUUCAUAAAGAAGGGUAGAUGAAGAAGCUAUCAGAAGAAUUUGUUGAACGGAACUUGCAUUUUGAUGUUAUGAGUGUAGAAAUAUAUUCUGCAUUUUUAGGAAAUUAGAUAAUAGGACCUGCUAAAGGAGAACUUGGGUCAAGCUAUUUCUUUAUUUGUUUGUGCAACCAACCUUAUUUGGUUCUGAUUGGAAGAUAAUACGACCGGCUGUACAAACUUCUAUUGAGUAAAGCUCAUUGUUAAGUUCAGA
Triticum aestivum (bread wheat) is the source of this 2451-nucleotide long non-coding RNA. RefSeq lists it as uncharacterized. Lineage: Eukaryota; Viridiplantae; Streptophyta; Magnoliopsida; Poales; Poaceae. The record is from RefSeq and is a predicted model, not a curated record. The transcript has 3 exons.